AAUCAUUAGUCUUUUAAUUUAGGACUGGAAUGAGUGGUUUAACUUAUUUUUUAUGUCUCAUUUUAAUAUUUUAAAUUUUAUAUUUUAGUAAAAAAGCUAAAAUUUUAUUUUUAGACGAGAAGACCCUAUCAAGCUUUAUAAUUAAAUUUUAUUAUCAAAAUAAAUAUAUACAUUAUUUCGCUGGGGCAGCUAGUAAAAAUUUUUUAUUUUAUCAUUGUGAUUUAUUAAUCUUGUCGUACCUAAAAAUUUUAAAGAAAUAAUAAGUUACUGUAGGGAUAACAGCAUAAUUUUUUUUAAGAGACCCUUAUCAUCAAAAAAGUUUGUGACCUCGAUGUUGGAUUAAGAAUCCUAAUUU
This 355-nucleotide ribosomal RNA is filed under the name aff. Alloscorpiops/Dasyscorpiops sp. 1 VO-2020. RNAcentral's name for it is "partial large subunit ribosomal RNA". Lineage: Eukaryota; Metazoa; Arthropoda; Arachnida; Scorpiones; Euscorpiidae. The record is from RNAcentral.